Long non-coding RNA from Grus americana (Whooping crane), 819 nucleotides. RefSeq lists it as uncharacterized. The record is from RefSeq and is a predicted model, not a curated record. Lineage: Eukaryota; Metazoa; Chordata; Aves; Gruiformes; Gruidae. The transcript is spliced from 3 exons.
ACAGAAAUCCUCCUCUGGCAUUGCUUGGCCAUGAGCUUUAAGCCAUGAAGGCUUUGCAGCUGGGUUUUCUUCUCUUGGACUUUGCUCCUGUAUCGCGAUGGGGAAGUUUCCAGGGCAACUGGUAGGAAAGAGGAAGAUGGAGGAGAAAUAAGAGGCGCCAUCAUCAGCGUAUGCAUCGAGUACAAGCCUUGUGGUGGCACCCCCCGACACGUUUAUCAAACCAGCCCUUAGGACGCGGCUGCUGCUUCACCAUGUGGGAAAAGUGAAACAUGGAAAUGAAACUCCCUGUCAACAAACUGAUCAGAAAAAAACCCAUGGUGAAAUUCAGAGAAAAGUCUGGCCCCAUCAGACACCACACCAGCCUCCCUCGAGGAGCGUAUGGGACCUCCCCCCUGCAUUUGGCCAUUAUUUCUGCAGCGGAUGAAGAAUGGAGGAGCAGGGACUGGCAGCAAUGGGAAGAUGAUGGACUGGUGCUCUGCCAGCCUCCAAGACAGGGGCCACCUUCAAACCCCACUGCAGGGAAGGAGCACCCACACACCAUCCCCACCUCAGAUGGGCCCUGCGAGUUGGCCUGGGUCAAAGUCAGACCAGGGACCAUCUGAAAAAUUCAAUAAUCUGGACAGUAAAGAUGAAUUAACCCACCCAGAUGCAGUCAGGAAGUGUCAGGAUGGGGCAUCAACCCUUUCCCCCACCCCUGCUGUUGCUAUCUUAUAAAAUUUCCUUUUUUGAAAUGAAAUUUAAUCUUGAAAACAGAUUUCCCUUUUUUUUUUUCCUCGUCUCUACUUUCUUCUGCUCUAAUAGCUGAGAUGUUUCCUCUAA